Sorex fumeus (smoky shrew) is the source of this 105-nucleotide small nuclear RNA. The record is from RefSeq and is a predicted model, not a curated record. Lineage: Eukaryota; Metazoa; Chordata; Mammalia; Eulipotyphla; Soricidae.
GUGCUCACUCCAGCAGCACAUAUACUAAAAUUGGACGAUACUGAGAAGAUUAGUAUGGCCCUGCCCAAGGAUGACACGCAAAUUCAUGAAGUGUUCCAAACAUUU